UGCCAGCCGCCGCGGUAAUACGGAGGGCUCAAACGUUGUUCGGAAUCACUGGGCAUAAAGCGCACGUAGGCGGCCUAUCAAGUCAGAUGUGAAAGCCCCCGGCCCAACCGGGGAACUGCAUCUGAAACUGGUAGGCUCGAGGAUGGCAGGGGUGAGUGGAACUCCAGGUGGAACGGUGAAAUGUGUAGAUAUCUGGAGGAACACCAGUGGCGAAGGCGGCUCACUGGGCCGUCUCUGACGCUGAGGCGCGAAAGCUAGGGUAGCAAACGGGAUUAGAUA
Molecule: ribosomal RNA, 279 nt
Filed under: uncultured bacterium
Lineage: Bacteria
Description: partial 16S ribosomal RNA
Rfam family: Bacterial small subunit ribosomal RNA
Source: RNAcentral